Molecule: ribosomal RNA, 459 nt
Filed under: Salmonella enterica
Lineage: Bacteria; Pseudomonadati; Pseudomonadota; Gammaproteobacteria; Enterobacterales; Enterobacteriaceae
Description: bacterial SSU rRNA
Rfam family: Bacterial small subunit ribosomal RNA
Source: RNAcentral
AAAUUGAAGAGUUUGAUCAUGGCUCAGAUUGAACGCUGGCGGCAGGCCUAACACAUGCAAGUCGAACGGUAACAGGAAGCAGCUUGCUGCUUUGCUGACGAGUGGCGGACGGGUGAGUAAUGUCUGGGAAACUGCCUGAUGGAGGGGGAUAAUUACUGGAAACGGUGGCUAAUACCGCAUAACGUCGCAAGACCAAAGAGGGGGACCUUCGGGCCUCUUGCCAUCAGAUGUGCCCAGAUGGGAUUAGCUUGUUGGUGAGGUAACGGCUCACCAAGGCGACGAUCCCUAGCUGGUCUGAGAGGAUGACCAGCCACACUGGAACUGAGACACGGUCCAGACUCCUACGGGAGGCAGCAGUGGGGAAUAUUGCACAAUGGGCGCAAGCCUGAUGCAGCCAUGCCGCGUGUAUGAAGAAGGCCUUCGGGUUGUAAAGUACUUUCAGCGGGGAGGAAGGUGUUG